GAUGAAGAACGUAGCGAAAUGCGAUACGUAAUGUGAAUUGCAGAAUUCAGUGAAUCAUCGAGUCUUUGAACGCACAUUGCGCCCCCUGGUAUUCCGGGGGGCAUGCCUGUCCGAGCGUCAUUGCUGCCCUCAAGCACGGCUUGUGUGUUGGGCCUCCGUCCUCCUCCCGGGGGACGGGCCCGAAAGGCAGCGGCGGCACAGCGUCCGGUCCUCGAGCGUAUGGGGCUUCGUCACCCGCUCUUGUAGGCCCGGCCGGCGCUUGCCGACACAUCAAUCUUUUUUCCAGGUUGACCUCGGAUCAGGUAGGGAUACCCGCUGAACUUAAGCAUAUCAAUAAGCGGAGGA
Molecule: unclassified non-coding RNA, 345 nt
Filed under: soil metagenome
Description: partial contains 5.8S ribosomal RNA, internal transcribed spacer 2, and large subunit ribosomal RNA
Rfam family: 5.8S ribosomal RNA (bases 1-120)
Source: RNAcentral